UCACUUCGAAUUCUGAAAUUGAGAAUCAUUAUUAAAAAAAGUGCACUUAAACUAUCAUAUAACUUCUUCACGUGAGUUUUGGAAAUGUAGUCAGUUGACAUAACUAAGUAACUUGGCUGAAACUGCUAGUUUAGUUAUCUUCGAUCAAAUAUACGUGUGCUCAGAUUUCGUGGAUCGACGACAGGACCAUGCAUGCACAAAC
Molecule: non-coding RNA, 202 nt
Organism: Paramuricea clavata
Lineage: Eukaryota; Metazoa; Cnidaria; Anthozoa; Malacalcyonacea; Plexauridae
Source: the annotation of a GenBank genome assembly